RNAcentral lists this ribosomal RNA (279 nucleotides) under uncultured bacterium. Its description in RNAcentral is "partial 16S ribosomal RNA". It matches the Rfam family "Bacterial small subunit ribosomal RNA", at positions 506 to 784 of the family's 1533-position model. The record is from RNAcentral.
UGCUAGCAGCCGCGGUAACACGGGGGGCGCAAGCGUUAUUCGGAAUUAUUGGGCGUAAAGGGCGCGCAGGCGGUCUUGUCCGUCAGGUGUGAAAGCUCGGGGCUCAGCCCCGGAAGUGCACUUGAAACAGCAAGACUUGAAUACGGUAGAGGAGAGAGGAAUUCCUGGUGUAGAGGUGAAAUUCGUAGAUAUCAGGAGGAACACCGAUGGCGAAGGCAUCUCUCUGGGCCGAUAUUGACGCUGAGAUACUAAGGCGUGGGUAGUGAACCGGAUUAGAUA